AUUGAACGCUGGCGGAAUGCUUUACACAUGCAAGUCGAACGGCAGCACGGGGGCAACCCUGGUGGCGAGUGGCGAACGGGUGAGUAAUACAUCGGAACGUGCCCGGUCGUGGGGGAUAACGUAGCGAAAGUUACGCUAAUACCGCAUACGAUCUGAGGAUGAAAGCGGGGGACCUUCGGGCCUCGCGCGAUCGGAGCGGCCGAUGUCAGAUUAGGUAGUUGGUGGGGUAAAGGCCUACCAAGCCGACGAUCUGUAGCUGGUCUGAGAGGACGACCAGCCACACUGGGACUGAGGCACGGCCCAGACUCCUACGGGAGGCAGCAGUGGGGAAUUUUGGACAAUGGGCGCAAGCCUGAUCCAGCCAUUCCGCGUGCAGGACGAAGGCCUUCGGGUUGUAAACUGCUUUUGUAUGGAACGAAAAGGCUCUGGCUAAUACCUGGGGCUCAUGACGGUACCGUAAGAAUAAGCACCGGCUAACUACGUG
This 484-nucleotide ribosomal RNA is filed under the name uncultured bacterium. RNAcentral describes it as "partial 16S ribosomal RNA". It matches the Rfam family "Bacterial small subunit ribosomal RNA", at positions 30 to 507 of the family's 1533-position model. The record is from RNAcentral.